ACGUAGGGUGCAGGCGUUAAUCGGAAUUACUGGGCGUAAAGCGUGCGUAGGCGGUUUGUUAAGACAGGUGUGAAAUCCCCGGGCUUAACCUGGGAACUGCGCUUGUUACUGGCAGACUGGAGUGUGGCAGAGGGGGGUGGAAUUCCAGGUGUAGCAGUGAAAUGCGUAGAUAUCUGGAGGAACACCGAUGGCGAAGGCAGCCCCCUGGGCUAACACUGACGCUGAUGCACGAAAGCGUGGGGAGCAAACAGGA
RNAcentral lists this ribosomal RNA (253 nucleotides) under uncultured prokaryote. RNAcentral describes it as "partial 16S ribosomal RNA". It matches the Rfam family "Bacterial small subunit ribosomal RNA", at positions 525 to 777 of the family's 1533-position model. The record is from RNAcentral.